UACGGGGGGGGCAAGCGUUGUUCGGAAUUACUGGGCGUAAAGGGCUCGUAGGCGGCCAACUAAGUCAGACGUGAAAUCCCUCGGCUUAACCGGGGAACUGCAUCUGAUACUGGAUGGCUUGAGUUUGGGAGAGGGAUGCGGAAUUCCAGGUGUAGCGGUGAAAUGCGUAGAUAUCUGGAGGAACACCGGUGGCGAAGGCGGCAUCCUGGACCAACACUGACGCUGAGGAGCGAAAGCGUGGGGAGCGAACAGG
RNAcentral lists this ribosomal RNA (253 nucleotides) under uncultured bacterium. RNAcentral describes it as "partial 16S ribosomal RNA". It matches the Rfam family "Bacterial small subunit ribosomal RNA", at positions 524 to 776 of the family's 1533-position model. The record is from RNAcentral.